AGCGAAGGCCGGGCCGCCCGCCCGAAAGGGCUCUGGUUGGGUGCGGAGCAGUCCCGUACGAGGGCGCGCUGGGCCCGAGCCCCGCCCCGGCCCUACCUUCCCUGUGGAGGCUCUUCGCUGACCCCUGGGACGGUACCUGCCCGUUUCUACGCACCCACUGGGCGCGAGGGUCGGAGACCCACCCGCUCCCCAGCCCCGGGCACGCAUUCUCAAGAGGCAGCCGCGGGGUAGGGCCAAGCGGGCAGGUACGAUCAUGCUCCCUGUCCCCGAGGUAUUUGAGCGCCCUCAACAAAGGCGACCUGGGAAGCCCCUCCCGUCGGGGUGGCCGUCACAAUCUCGGCGGGCGACGCGAGGACCUCCGAGGGAAGGGGCGAACGCAGAGGGACUCUGGUGUUCUCACUGGGACUUCCCAACCUCACUUGCAGACCCCUGUUACAGCUGCUUUGCUCUGACUUGCGGGAGCAGGUCAUCGCGGGGCGACUUCCCAAGGUUCUAUCCCGCUAAGGGAUCUGCUGAAGUGCCUGUGUGUAAUGAGAAGGCAGGACUCAGCCUUUUCACGUGUGUGGAACCCGAAAGGUUGGAGCCACUAGAAACCGAGCGUCCAGGGGUGGAAGCCGAAGAACGGGAAUUACCUCCAGCACUGGCUAUGUCUUUUGCCACUUGAACCUUUCACUUGCUCAGCAUCUCACCCAGACCCCCCAGUAAGUGACUUUUUUAUGGACGGUUGAUGUUAAUAAACUUUGGCCCGGAACCGGAGACUAAACCUAAGUCUUCUCGCACCCAAAUCCACUAGAGGGCAGGGCUACACCUUCUGAGUUCGACCGCAUUCGCCACAAAGAACUGUAAAAACCGCAGGAGUCCUCCCUUGUGUGCUAGAGCAAAUUAUGAACAGUACAACAUACGUGGGAAGUUCAUUUCUUUUUCUGUUAAAGCAUGGAAUUGUCAUAUGAGGGGUCUGAUAAGUCAUCUAAUCCUCUCUUUCAUGAUGGAGAAACUGUCACUACAACAUCCCCCAAGGAGAUACCCUGCCCUCUGCAAAAGGCCUGUGCAUGCAUUGUCCAGAAUCACUACGUGAAACCACUUCAGCUAAACUUUGGGAGAAAUCAUGCCCUGCAUUUCAGAAUCAGAAGUGACCAGCCAAGGAAGAGAAUCAACUAUGCUUUCAAGAUCACCACAAAUAAGUAGUCUUUUAAAAAAAAUAUUCGCUGGGUGCCUGGGUGGCUCAGUUGGUUGGGCGACUGCCUUCAGCUCAGGUCAUGAUCCCACGGUCCUGGGAUCGAGUCCCGCAUCGGGCUCCCGGCUCUGCGGGGAGCCUGCUUCUCCCUCUCCCACUCCCCCUGCUUGUGUUCCCUCUCUCGCUGUGUCUCUC
Mirounga angustirostris (Northern elephant seal) is the source of this 1369-nucleotide long non-coding RNA. RefSeq lists it as uncharacterized. Lineage: Eukaryota; Metazoa; Chordata; Mammalia; Carnivora; Phocidae. The transcript has 4 exons. The record is from RefSeq and is a predicted model, not a curated record.